RNAcentral lists this ribosomal RNA (301 nucleotides) under uncultured bacterium. RNAcentral's name for it is "partial 16S ribosomal RNA". It matches the Rfam family "Bacterial small subunit ribosomal RNA", at positions 509 to 807 of the family's 1533-position model. The record is from RNAcentral.
CAGUCGCCGCGGUAAUACGUAGGGGGCUAGCGUUGCUCGGAAUCACUGGGCGUAAAGGGCUCGCAGGCGGUUUCUUAGGUCUGAUGUGAGAGCCCCCGGCUCAACCGGGGAGGGUCAUUGGAAACUGGGAAACUUGAGUGCAGAAGAGGAGAGUGGAAUUCCACGUGUAGCGGUGAAAUGCGUAGAGAUGUGGAGGAACACCAGUGGCGAAGGCGACUCUCUGGUCUGUAACUGACGCUGAGGAGCGAAAGCGUGGGGAGCGAACAGGAUUAGAUACCCCGGUAGUCCCUGUCUCUUAUAC